This is an RNA transcript of Medicago truncatula (barrel medic), 1661 nucleotides long. It is a transcript of the gene named afadin- and alpha-actinin-binding protein, with no coding region annotated. The transcript has 17 exons. The record is from RefSeq and is a predicted model, not a curated record. NCBI's taxonomy places the organism in Eukaryota, Viridiplantae, Streptophyta, Magnoliopsida, Fabales, Fabaceae.
CAAAUAAACACCGAUUUCAUUUAUUUUCAUCAUUCAAAUUCAGACACCGCUUAAAGCAUUAGCAUUAGAUAGAUCUAAAACAAAGAAAAAGAAGAAGAAGAAGAAACUCUUUUAUCAAAGACAACAAUGCCUUCCACUGAAGGAGACUUAGAUCUUAGGCCAUCUUCUCAUUCUGCUUUCACAACCGGAGAAUACACAUUCGCCGAUGUAAACAAUUUGGAACAUUGUGCUAAGUAUCUGAACCAAUCACUCGUUACAUUUGGUUUUCCCGCUUCACUCGAUCUAUUCUCAAACGAUCCCGUUUCUAUAGCGAGGACGUGCAAUUGCAUAUACUUCUUGCUUCAGCAGAGACAGCGUGAUGUCGAAUUUAGAGAGUCUGCCAAUGAACAAAGACAACGAUUGUUGUCGGAUAUAUCGAGAUAUGAGGCUAAAGUUGAGAGACUUGAUGGACAAUUACAAGCUAAAGAUAGAGAGAUAGCGACGAUAACUAGAACGGAAGCUAAAAAUACUGCAGCUCUCAAGGCUCAAAUUGAGAAGCUGCAAAAAGAGAGGGAUGAAUUUCAGAGGAUGGUUAUUGGCAAUCAGCAAGUUAGGACUCAACAAAUACAUGAGAUGAAGAAGAAGGAAAAGGAAUACAUUAAGUUGCAGGAGAGACUAAACCAAGUGUUGAUGGAGAAGAAGAAAGAAUCUAGGUCGGGCAUGGAGAUAAUGAAUUUGCUUCAGAAGGAAGGGAGGCAACGUGGAACAUGGAAUGGGAAGAAAACUGACAAUGAUUUUUAUAAAAAGAUUGUGGACGCUUAUGAGGUGAAAAAUCAAGAACUGAUAGCAGAAAAUGCUGAUUUAAGGGCAUUAUUGAGAUCAAUGCAGGUUGAUAUGCGUGAUUUCUUAAAUGCUCCUAAUGGACUACCAAAUCAAUCUCCCACUACUAACGAAAGAUCUGAAAGUAAUCCUUCACAUUCUCCGCUGGUUGGAAGAACGGACGUAUUUGAUCUUCCUUUUCACAUGGCAAGAGAUCAAAUUGAAGAGAGUCUAAGAGCGAAGAUGGCUUCUAUAAAGGAGCGCAUGGUCCAACUGCAAGAUGCUCAGAAAGAGGCCGAAGUCACUUCGGAAGCUACCGAGAGAGAACUUGAGCUUGAAGCUCAACUUGUUGAAGCAAGGAGCAUUAUACAAGAGCAGGCUUCUAUAAUGUCUAAACAUCUUGCAAAGUCUGACAGGCCAAGGGAAUCGGCUCCGGCUGAGGGGUAGUGCUAGACUGGGAGCACAUGUUGGUGUAGAAACGGUGUUGAUGAUGGCAUUUAGCAUCAACCUUUUGUGAGGGAGUAUGCAACUAACAUGGCUGAGCGUACUCAGGUUUCAUGCUUGUCAUUAUUAAUUAAGUUUAACUAUAUUGGCUCGUAGUGGAGCAUGCUUGCUUUUAGCCCGUGUAACUAAUCUUGCUUGUCAAUUCUUCACUGCCCCCCUUAGUUCUUAUGUAAAAGGCCAUGGUAUGGUCGAAUGUCGUUGUUGUUAGUAAUAAUAUAGUGAUAUUGUAAUCUUGGAGGUGCUUCUAGAGAAAAAAAGUUAGUAAUGUCUCGAUGGUUCACUCAAACUUGCAUGGCAUUUAAAAUUGGUAGCUAGGAAGAUUUUGAGUUAGUAGUAAUUAUAAAGUAUGAUUCAUUACA